AGAUUGAACGCUAGCGGGAUGCCUUACACAUGCAAGUCGAACGGCAGCACGGACUUCGGUCUGGUGGCGAGUGGCGAACGGGUGAGUAAUGUAUCGGAACGUGCCUAGUAGCGGGGGAUAACUACGCGAAAGCGUAGCUAAUACCGCAUACGCCCUACGGGGGAAAGCAGGGGAUCGCAAGACCUUGCACUAUUAGAGCGGCCGAUAUCGGAUUAGCUAGUUGGUGGGGUAACGGCUCACCAAGGCGACGAUCCGUAGCUGGUUUGAGAGGACGACCAGCCACACUGGGACUGAGACACGGCCCAGACUCCUACGGGAGGCAGCAGUGGGGAAUUUUGGACAAUGGGGGAAACCCUGAUCCAGCCAUCCCGCGUGUGCGAUGAAGGCCUUCGGGUUGUAAAGCACUUUUGGCAGGAAAGAAACGUUCCGGGUUAAUACCCCGGGAAACUGACGGUACCUGCAGAAUAAGCACCGGCUAACUACGUGCCAGCAGCCGCGGUAAUACGUAGGGUGCAAGCG
Molecule: ribosomal RNA, 519 nt
Filed under: Achromobacter sp. KAs3-1
Lineage: Bacteria; Pseudomonadati; Pseudomonadota; Betaproteobacteria; Burkholderiales; Alcaligenaceae
Description: bacterial SSU rRNA
Rfam family: Bacterial small subunit ribosomal RNA
Source: RNAcentral